RNAcentral lists this ribosomal RNA (297 nucleotides) under uncultured bacterium. RNAcentral describes it as "partial 16S ribosomal RNA". It matches the Rfam family "Bacterial small subunit ribosomal RNA", at positions 789 to 1084 of the family's 1533-position model. The record is from RNAcentral.
GGUAGUCCACGCCGUAAACGUUGGGCGCUAGAUGUGGGGGCCAUUCCACGGUCUCCGUGUCGCAGCUAACGCAUUAAGCGCCCCGCCUGGGGAGUACGGCCGCAAGGCUAAAACUCAAAGGAAUUGACGGGGGCCCGCACAAGCGGCGGAGCAUGUUGCUUAAUUCGAUGCAACGCGAAGAACCUUACCUAGGCUUGACAUGCACGGAAAUCUGUCAGAGAUGGCAGGUCCUUUAAAGGGUCGUGCACAGGUGGUGCAUGGUUGUCGUCAGCUCGUGUCGUGAGAUGUUGGGUUAAG